AUUUUGUUUUUCUUCUAAAAAUUUUUCCCAUGAUCUUUGGCCCUUUGGGUCAAACUCAAAUGUUUGCCUUUCUCUCCUCUCCUUUUAUAUACUAAAUCCCAUAUUGAGUUCCAGCAAGGCUUUCUCUCUCUCUAUGUUGUGCAUGGAUAUUGGAUAGAUAGAUUGACAGUCGUUGUUUGCGGGUGUAGCAUCAUCAAGAUUCACAUGCAAAUGCACGGUGGUGGUGAUGGAUAAUACAAACUCUCUUCUUUUUUUCUCCCCUUCCCCUUUCUUUUCCCUUCUCCUUUAUGCCAAAGUUGUUUGGAAAGUGAGAAUCUUGAUGAUGCUGCAUCGGCAAUAAACGACUAUACAAAAGACCCUUUCUUUCUCUCAGUUUCAAAGUACAGUGUGCCACUUUGCACACUUCGAAAUCAUAACAUCAACAACCAAAAAAAAAAAAAAAAGAUGAUUCUCUCUUGGCAAAGGUUUCUCCCCCCCUUUCUCUGUUGUUGUCAGGGUAAGGUAGCCAUAACAAAUAGUGUCUACUAGGCUGUUUCAAAAGGACUUUGACUUGCAGAUCUAUGAUUAUUCUUCUGAGCCAGAUAUAUACUGCUGCAGUGGAAAUGGGUACUUUUUCAUGGAGAAGGGACUUUGCCCAGGAACUUAAAAGAAAAAAAAAAAAGAAGAUAGAGCCUUUGACAUAAGCUGUUGAGAGGAUAUCUCAAAAAGAUAGGCAAAGGAGCAAUCUUCCCUGUAAGGUUGGUACUGGUUUUCUAAUGAGCUUCCAUGAAGGCCAGCUAGGUGUUGGGUUGGCUUCCAGGAGAGACUGCAAACUCUAAAAGAAAAGGUGAGAGAGAAAUGAGGUGAUUUCGAUUUGUUUUGUUUUAUGGGAUUUGAUGAUAUCAGCUAAAUAGCUUACUGCAAGUUUUUUUGGUUCUUCCCACCACCUUUGUCUUCACUAGAAGAAAAGAUUUCAAAACA
Theobroma cacao (cacao) is the source of this 960-nucleotide long non-coding RNA. RefSeq lists it as uncharacterized. The record is from RefSeq and is a predicted model, not a curated record. Lineage: Eukaryota; Viridiplantae; Streptophyta; Magnoliopsida; Malvales; Malvaceae.